This 238-nucleotide unclassified non-coding RNA is filed under the name uncultured Lyophyllaceae. RNAcentral's name for it is "sequence contains ITS1". The record is from RNAcentral. Lineage: Eukaryota; Fungi; Basidiomycota; Agaricomycetes; Agaricales.
UUGAAUUAAACCUGGCUAGGUUGCUGCUGGCCCUUAGGGGCAUGUGCACGCCUGCCUACGUUUUAACCACCUGUGCACCUUUUGUAGACCUGGAUAACUCUCGAAGCAACUCGGUUGGAGGACUGCUGUGCUUUUAACUAAGUCGGCUUUUCUUACACUUCCGGUCUACGUCUUUACAUACCCCAUAAGAAUGUAACAGAAUGUCUUUUUUACUGGCCUUAGUGCCUUUAAUCUAAUA